Podarcis muralis (Common wall lizard) is the source of this 546-nucleotide non-coding RNA. NCBI's taxonomy places the organism in Eukaryota, Metazoa, Chordata, Lepidosauria, Squamata, Lacertidae. The record is from RefSeq and is a predicted model, not a curated record.
CCAGAAGCCGGGCGCGCGCGCUGUGCUCCUCCGUCAGGCCAGGGCGGGGCUCCCGGGCCCCUUUCCCAGAGCCCCCGGGGGCCCGGCUCCUGCUCUGCCGCCCGAGGCACAUUUGGUCCAACUGCGGUGGAAGACCACACAGUAUUUGAUCAGGGAUGAAUCAAGAUUCCUUUGAACAGGAAAGUACCAAACUGAGGACUUACCAUAUCAGCCAAUGCAAUGUAGAGAAACAUUCCACCAGCUAAAGCAAAGAUCCAGUUGGCAGAGAAGUGGCUGCCCGCCAAUAUCCCAAAGGCUAGUCCCACAUAGCAGCAGCAAGCAGAGAUGAAGUUGAAGAACAGCGCUUGCUGGAUGGACAUUCCAGAAUUCAGCAGAAUGACAAAGUCACCUGCACGACCAAGGGCAAUGGGAAGGAAGUGAAAAAGGAGAGAUUGCAUCAGACAUCAAGAGAAUUUCCAGACACCACACUCCUGGCAUUUGCUUCAGUCCUAUCUCAGAGUUUGAGGAGCACAUACCUAGCUCAUGAGGAAAUUCUUCACAGAGAAU